This is a non-coding RNA of Podarcis lilfordi (Lilford's wall lizard), 77 nucleotides long. The record is from the annotation of a GenBank genome assembly. NCBI's taxonomy places the organism in Eukaryota, Metazoa, Chordata, Lepidosauria, Squamata, Lacertidae.
GCCGGGAUAGCUCAUUUUGUACAUACAGCAUGAGACUCUGAAUCUCAGGUUUGUGGGUUCGAGCCCCACAUUGGACA